Molecule: long non-coding RNA, 5127 nt
Organism: Quercus lobata
Lineage: Eukaryota; Viridiplantae; Streptophyta; Magnoliopsida; Fagales; Fagaceae
Exons: 3
Source: RefSeq, a predicted model, not a curated record
GAGUUGAAUAAAUAUGGCUGUCCAACACUCUUUUGAAGUAGCUAAUGGUUCCUAGGACCAUCCACUAGUUCUUUUAAAUUUACUUUCAAUUUAGUCUUGAAUUCAGUGCCUUUUGUGGGCUACACAAUCAGGAACCUUGUGGAGUUGUGUAGCUCAUAUCAUUACUACUGUUAUUGGCGCUAGAGUUUUGUCUCCGGCUUGGAGUACUUCACAGUUAGGAUGGAUAGCAGAGCCAGUUACCUUGCUUUGUUUUGCAAUCAUCACCUAUGUUUCUAUAUACCUCAUUUUCAAUUGUUACAGGUAUCCUAACUCCAUAACCAAGACACGAAACUAGUGUUACAUGGAUGCUGUUAGAGUGAAUCUUGGUCUUGAUGUUGUUUGCAGAAGCUUUGUUGAAGAAGCGGUAAAGAGUGUGGUUUUUGUUCCAAUUCGGUAUGAAACUUAGCUCAUGUUUGUUUAAAAUUGACUUAUGAAGAUUUACUGUCUACAUCAUCAAUGUUAGUUAUGAUUAAUACAAUGCUUUAAAUGGUGUAGAUAAAAUUACGGUUGAUAAAUCUUGGAUGCAUCUUUCUACUAGAUCGUGCACUGAGUAUAUUAAUGGAGUUGAAAACUUUCUUGAGUAUGCAUUUAAACAUUCAAUAGAUGGAGAUAUGAAAAUCAAUUGUCCGUGUAUUGACUGUAGCAACAGGUAUCAUAGGACUCGGGAUAAGUUCCAGUAUCAUCUUUUAUUUAGGGUAUAAGGAGAGAUUAUACUACUUGGUACCCUCAUGGGGAAGGUGAUAGUGAAGAGGAAGGUGAUAGUGAAGUGGAAGGUGAUGAUGAUGAUGGUAUGCUAUAUGAUGAUAUGUUUGAUAUGAUCAAGGAUGCUUAUCCACAAGUGGUGUGUGGCAGGGAAUCAAGUGGAAAUGAACCACAAGAGCCAAAUGGAGAUGCAAAGAAAUUUUAUAGAUUGUUGGAAAAGGUUAAACAGUCUCUGUAUCCAGAUUGUGAAAAGCAUUCAAGCUUGUCCUUUAUAAUUAAGUUAUUGCACAUAAAGUGCAUAUCAUCAUGGAGCAACAAGUCCUUUAGUAUGUUGAUGGAGCUGUUAAAGGAUGCAUUUCCUAUGUGUGAGAGACUACCUAGCUCAAACUAUGAGGCAAAAAAGAUUGUCAACGAUCUAGGCCUCCAUUAUGAGAAGAUAGAUGCAUGCAAAGAUGAUUGUGCACUUUAUUAUAAGAAGUAUUUAGAAGUGACUCAAUGUCCAGUUUGUAAACUUUCAAGAUGGCAGCCAAAUAAGGGUGGUAAAGGGAAAAAUAAAAAGGUACCAUGGAAGGUUUUGCGGUAUUUUCCACUUAAAUCAAGGCAACAAUGAUUGUUUAUGUCAACAAAGACUGCUACGGAUAUGAAAUGGCACCAUGAAAAACGUGUUAAUGAUGGAGUGUUACAACAUCCAACAGACUGUGAAGCUUGGAAAAAAUAUGACUAAAUUCAUGAGUCAUUCGCAAUGAAUCCCUGUAAUGUUAGGUUGGACUAGCUACAGAUGGGUUUAACCCAUUUGGAAAUAUGAAUAUUAAAUACAGUGUCCGGCCUAUUAUCUUAUUUCCAUAUAAUCUUCCCCCUUGGAUGUGCAUGAAAGAGCCUUAAUCAUUGAUGUCAUUACUUAUACAGGCCCAAAGGGUCCUGGGAAUCACAUUGAUGUAUUCUUGAGGCCGUUGAUUGAUGAACUAAAAGAAUUGUGGGAAGAUGGGGUGCGUACAUAUGAUGCUUCAACGAAGGAGAACUUUCAGAUGAGAGCAGCAGUGUUGUGGACUAUCCAUGACUUUCGCGCAUAUGCUGUUAUUUCCGAUUGGAGUACAAAGAGAAAUUUGGUGUGUUCUUGUUGUCAUAGUGAGACUACUCAUUGUAGGUUAUGAAAUGGAUAUAAGAUAUGCUAUAUGGGAUAUCGUCUUUUUUUGGUCUGAGACCACAAAUGGCAUAAUAAUAAGUCACAAUUUAAUGGUAAAAAAGAAAGGAAUAUAGCACCCAAACGAUUAUCUAGUGAUGAUGUGUUAAAACAAAUUCUUCCAUUAAAGCCAAUUAUAUUUGGAAAAAGCCAGAAAAAGCAAUUUCUAGAAGGGCAUGGGCAGUUUCAUAAUUGGAAGAAGCAUAGCAUUUUUUUUUUUUUUGAAUUGCCAUAUUGGAGAACACUUUUGUUAUGUCACAAUUUGGAUGUGAUGCAUGUUGAAAAAAAUAUAUUUGACAGUGUGAUUGGGACAAUUAUGAAUAUUAAAGAUAAAAUGAAGGAUUCUUUAAGCACUCGUCUUGAUCUAAAAGAAAUGGGCAUACGGCAUACGCUCCAACCCAUAGAGGUUAAUGGGAAGAUAGAGCUACCCCUAGCUUGCUACACACUGUCAAAUGAUGAGAAAAGGGCCAUAUGCUUAUGGGUAAAAAAUCUUAAAUUUUCGGAUGGCUACUCUACAAAUUUAUCUCGAUGUGUGAAUAUUGAGGAGAGAAAAAUUUCUGGUAUGAAGACUCAUGAUUGUCAUGUUUUCCUAGAAAGAUUACUCCCACUUGUAGUGCGUGACUUUUUACCUAAAAAAGUAUUUGAUGCUUUGACUGAGUUAAGUAACUUUUUCAAAGAAUUGUAUUCCAAAGUGUUACGAGUGGAUGAUUUGGAUCGUCUUGAAACCCAAAUUGCAGUAACCCUCUGUAAAUUAGAACAGAUUUUUCCACCUUCUUUCUUUGGUGUAAUGGUUCACUUGGCCAUUCACCUAUCUGGGGAAGCUAAAGUUGCAGGUCUAAUGCAAUACAGAUGGAUGUAUCCAGUUGAGAGGUAAAGUUUACAAAAUUUCAUUAUAGUCUAAAUUACAAUUGCAUACUAGUAUUUUAUUUUUGAUAAAAUUUUAUAUUAUGCCUUCAAAUAUAGGUAUUUGCACAAGCUUAAGAGUUAUGUUCGUAAUAAGGCACACGCAGAAGGGUCUAUUGUAGAAAAGUAUUUAGCAGAUGAAUGUCUAACAUUUUGUUCUCACUAUUUACAUGGAAGAGAAACCAAAUUUACUCGGGUAGAGCGAAAUUAUGAUGGAGGUACUUCCACAUGUGCAAAUACCUCUCAAUUGUCCAUAUUCUCAACACCUGUAUGACAUUUAGGGAAAGCAAUAAGAGAACAUAAGAACAUCCUUACAAAUGCAGGUGUUCUCGACAUUGAUAGGGUGCAUAGACAAGAAUUUAUUGCAUGGUUUGAAAAAAGAGUAAGAUAGUAAUUUAUUUUUGAAAAUGUAUGUUUGUUUAUAUUUUAACUACUACAACUUGAGUUUAACCUUAUUUAGGUUUUAUUGUAGAUCACCAACUUAUAUAAUACAAGACAAGUUGAUGGGCAUAUGCUCUCAUUAGCUUGGGGCCCUAAGAAAGGGCUAUUUUUUUAUUGAGGUUACAAUGUUAAUGGGUUCAGAUUUCAUACAAAUCAAUGUGAUUAAAGUAAAAGAAGACAAAAUAAUGGAGUUAUGGUGAGAGGGGAGGAUCAAAGUUGCAAUGUGCCUUAUUAUGGACAACUAACAGACAUUGUUGAACUUUAAUAUACUGAAGGGAACAAAGUUGUGUUGUUUAAAUGUGAUUGAUAUGAUGUAUCUCGUGAAAAAAUUGGUUAUAAGAGAGAUUGGCAUGGAAUCACUAUUGUUAAUACAUCACGAAAGUUGAAAACUGUAGAGCCAUUUGUAUUAGCAUGUCAAGCAACUCAAGUUUAAUAUGUUAAUGGAAUAAAAGAUCCCACAUGGAAUGUUGUGAUUGAAACCAAGCCACGAAACCUUUAUGAAAUGCCAUCAGAUGAAGAAGAGCCAUACCAAGAAGAAGAAAAUUUACAUUGUAAUGCAAAUGUGCUGCAAGAAGAAAAUGAGGAUGAUGAUAUAGAUUAGAGUAGGAGUGGUGUUGAGAAUAUGAUAAUCAAGUGACUUCCAAGGCUUAAAAGGACUAUUUAAUGUAAUUCUUCUUUGUUUCUAAGAAAGCAUUUCUAUCCUUUUUAGCUCAAAAAGAAAAAAGAAAAAAAGAGAGAGACUUGACUUAUUUGAUAAUGUUUAUAUUGUGAUUGGCUUAUAUUUCAAUUGGACAAGGUCGCUUUCCUUGAUGGGAAGAAAAUUUUAUUCACUUUUGAGAAAGAGAGAGAGAGUACAAAAGGCUGUUAUUUUUGAAUUUCAGGCUACCAUUUUGAAGUUGAAAUUGCUAUAAUUUUUUUAUGGGUAAAAUCUAUUAGAAAAUAAGGACAGACCUUUCAUAUAUAGGAUGUAUAUAAAAGACAUAUUUUUUUUGGCUGUAAACAAAAGGUUCAUCUAAAGACUACAAAGUGCUAUAUGUUUAUGUAUUUCUUUUUAUUUUUCUUUGAUUUUAGAAUAACUAAUAAUUUCAUGAUUAUUUGCAAAGGCCAAUUGUGGCCCUCACAAAUAAUUUAGUAUUAGUGAGGGUAUAUUUUUAACUCACACAAAAAAUUAACUUUUUGCAAGGAAUUUUUAUUGUCCCUUGGAAAUAAUUUGGUGGGAACAUUUCCCUCCAAAAAAUUUUACAUUUUAAUGAUUAUUUGUGAAGGUCGAUCCUAGCCCUCGCAAAUAAUUUAGUAUUAGUGACGGCAUUUUUUAACUGUCACAAAUAAUACACUUUUUGUGAGAGAUUUUUAAUUGUCCCUCGCAAAUAAUACGGAGGGAAAAUUUCCCUCCAAAAUAUUAGUAUUUGUGACGGCUAUAAUACAUAAUUGCGAUAGCUUUUUUUGUUAGUCACAAAUAUUUCACAUUUUACUAAGUAUUUGCGAGGGCUUUAUUUUGACAUCACAAAUAAGAUUUUUUGAGAGGGCUUUUUGGGUUGAUCAAAAAUUCUUGGUCGCUAAUAGGCAUUUUUCUUGUAGAUAUCCUCUUAACUGUGCUAAUGUACCUAUUUACACAAUAAUCUAACACUUGGAAGACAUGUUCUAAAAAGCUACAACUUAACCAACCAACCAAGUUGUCAGUAAUCAUGCAAUCCUAUCCUUAUCAACAUUUUCAUAUGAGUAACAAGAAAAUUAAUCACGCAAGAUUGAAAACCCUCUAAAUGAUAUAGAGGGAACAAUUUACUAUAAUAAAAUAGAGAAUGCAAUGCUCUUUAUGUCCAAAACUUAAGUUCACAAUAAAUUUGAAAAAUACAAUAAUACCU